RNAcentral lists this long non-coding RNA (886 nucleotides) under Cyanistes caeruleus (blue tit). Its description in RNAcentral is "lncRNA (ENSCCEG00000012077.1)". Lineage: Eukaryota; Metazoa; Chordata; Aves; Passeriformes; Paridae. The record is from RNAcentral.
GUCAAAUGUGAAUGUGCCAAUGUUUAUGAACUAUAAAGCUUUUCCAAAUCCGUGCAUUAUUGUCUGACUUGAUUUUGCCAUGGUAAAAACCCCAAUACAAGUGCAGCACACUAAAUUAGACUGGCUAUGAGCAGCACAGGGUGUGUAAUAUCCGUGGUAGCCUUCUGAAUACAUUAGUGUCUGGCAGCAGAAUUAAUUAAAUUGGUAUCAAAGAUAACUCUAUUGCUUCAUAUCUUGCAGUGAGUAAGGAAAAACCCUUCAAUGAGUUUAAGAUCCCCUCAGGAACACGAAUGUCAUUGGGAACUAAUAGUUGCUAAAGCAGGCCUGUGCAAAACUCGGUGAGAUUUAAAAAGAGCAUCACUCAGUCAGUGGGACACGGCUAUUAAUUCCCAGUGCUCAGGUGUCCAGCUAAAACCCUGCCUGGAACUGAUCAACCACCUCCAAGGAAGCGCCUGAGAGCGUGCUGAUAACAAUUCUGACACCUGGUCAGCAGAAAAAUUGUGACCACAAGAAGGACCCUUAGGUGCUCCUAAGAGAGUGAAGAAAUUUGGAGUGGACAGAAGUGAUUUACUCAUGCACAAGCAGGGAAGUGGAAGGGAAGCUUUAAAGGGGCAAAAUGAAAAAGGUGCCUUCAAGGAGAGAUUUAGAUCUUGUCCCUGAACCAAGUUUAAAGAACAGUCAUAAUGGAGGGUGAGUGGGAUGGGUUUGUUGUGCAUGCAGUGAUUAUUAUCUGAUGGGCUGAGUGUCCUUCUCUAGAGAAACUUUCACAAAAGCUGAGUUGAGUGAAAGGUGGUCGGGAGAGCAGGCAAAGCACGAAAUACCUUUACCACACAUUAACUCUGCAUUUAUGCCUCUUUUUACCUGGAACAUCUGGUUGUGCUUUUUG